Long non-coding RNA from Saccostrea cuccullata (small rock oyster), 913 nucleotides. RefSeq lists it as uncharacterized. The transcript is spliced from 3 exons. The record is from RefSeq and is a predicted model, not a curated record. NCBI's taxonomy places the organism in Eukaryota, Metazoa, Mollusca, Bivalvia, Ostreida, Ostreidae.
GAUUAUGCACAAUUUGAGGAAAGGAGCUGCUGUGGGAUGGUACUGUAACAGAAAGUUCCAGGUAAAAGACAGCCUUUUUCAUUUAUUAUAAAUGGGUAUGAACAUGCACAUUUACUAGAGCAACAAAGAGUCUCGAUUUUUAUAGGCAUGCAGAUUUUAAAGAAAGAAAACUGGGGUGUAAAGAAAGAAGAAGAUUUUCCAUCAAAUAAUGGUGGAUGACACAAAGUUCUUCCUAUGAAUGAUGUCAUAACCCACUUUGAAAAAAGGUGGUUGGAGAGAAAAGGAUCUGAAGAGAGAGAAAGAAUUGUUUAUAUUCAAAUGGAUUUAUAGACUGUUAGACCUUUUGCUAUCACUUAAUUCUGUACUAUUAGUUCCACAACACUGAGCCUAUAAGCUUUUGACUUGAUGGUUUAUCUAAUUUGAGAGAGCAUAGUCCAGUUUUUAGGCAUUUCAAGAUUAGCAAUGCAGAAUAUGUACACAUGUAAUGGCAGAUAAAAAUCCAACACAAACAGGACACUGAUAAGACUGGAAUUUAGAGAUAUUUCAUGUCUCUCUUGUGUGAAUUGAAAAAAAAGUUUAUGCCAGAAAAAAUAUAAUAAAAUAAUAACUUGAAUCUUGUUUUGUGCUUAUAUUUUUAAGCCCCCAUAAAUGAAGUUUCGGGGUAUAUAGUUUUUGUCGUGUCCGUCUAGCUGUUUCUCCGCAAAAACUUUAACCUUGCCCAUACUUUUGAUUUAGUGGAGCUAUGACUUUCAUAUUUCACAUAUGUAUUUCUUGUGUUAAGACCUUUCAUUGAAUACUAUCAACUUUGACUUUUGACCUUGGAGAUUUACAUACUAAUGAAAAAACUUUAACCUUGGCAAUAACUUUUGAAGAGUAAGGGCUAGGGCUUUUAUACUUCACAUAUGUAAUUCUU